AGAAAGGAUCAUGGAGGAGGAAUGGAGAAGUCUCUCGUAGUGCGUCUAUGCCCAAUUAUGGCAGUAGAAUGCAAUUUGCUUAUAGAAAUCUCGAUAGGCGUCCUUCCUGGGUUCAGAGUUUCUCCGCAUAUGAUACAACCCUCAAAUCUGACAUAGAUUCGAGACAUGGGUCGGGUCUGACGGACUAUGUUUCACAGACAAGUUUCUCUAUUCAACCUGAAGAUGGAAAAUCUGAGACUGUCUCGUCUACAAUAAAAAUGCAGCACAAUCAGUCGUUUGAUUAUUCUUUUCUCGAAG
This 297-nucleotide unclassified non-coding RNA is filed under the name Hevea brasiliensis (rubber tree). Lineage: Eukaryota; Viridiplantae; Streptophyta; Magnoliopsida; Malpighiales; Euphorbiaceae. The record is from RNAcentral.